GAAUCGGCGGCUUACCAUGCAGUCGAGGGGUAACAUUGUGCUUGCACAGAUGACGACCGGCGCACGGGUGCGUAACGCGUAUAGAACCUACCUUUUACAGAGGAAUAGCCUUUAGAAAUGAAGAUUAAUGCCUCAUAGUAUUGAGUAAUCGCAUGAUUAUUUAAUUAAAGAUUUAUCGGUAAAAGAUGGCUAUGCGUCCUAUUAGUUAGUUGGUAAGGUAACGGCUUACCAAGACAUCGAUAGGUAGGGGUCCUGAGAGGGAGAUCCCCCACACUGGUCCUGAGACACGGACCAGACUCCUACGGGAGGCAGCAGUGAGGAAUAUUGGACAAUGGAGGAGACUCUGAUCCAGCCAUGCCGCGUGUAGGAAGAAUGCCCUAUGGGUUGUAAACUACUUUUAUACAGGAAGAAACACUGGUAUGUAUACCAGCUUGACGGUACUGUAAGAAUAAGGACCGGCUAACUCCGUGCCAGCAGCCGCGGUAAC
Molecule: ribosomal RNA, 487 nt
Filed under: uncultured Polaribacter sp.
Lineage: Bacteria; Pseudomonadati; Bacteroidota; Flavobacteriia; Flavobacteriales; Flavobacteriaceae
Description: bacterial SSU rRNA
Rfam family: Bacterial small subunit ribosomal RNA
Source: RNAcentral